Molecule: ribosomal RNA, 449 nt
Filed under: uncultured bacterium
Lineage: Bacteria
Description: partial 16S ribosomal RNA
Rfam family: Bacterial small subunit ribosomal RNA
Source: RNAcentral
AACGAACGCUGGCAGCAUGCCUAACACAUGCAAGUCGAACGAGAUCUUCGGGUCUAGUGGCGCACGGGUGCGUAACGCGUGGGAAUCUGCCCUUUGGUUCGGAAUAACAGUUGGAAACGACUGCUAAUACCGGAUGAUGACGAAAGUCCAAAGAUUUAUCGCCAGAGGAUGAGCCCGCGUAGGAUUAGCUAGUUGGUGUGGUAAAGGCGCACCAAGGCGACGAUCCUUAGCUGGUCUGAGAGGAUGAUCAGCCACACUGGGACUGAGACACGGCCCAGACUCCUACGGGAGGCAGCAGUGGUGAAUAUUGGACAAUGGGCGAAAGCCUGAUCCAGCAAUGCCGCGUGAGUGAUUAAGGCCUUAGGGUUGUAAAGCUCUUUUACCCGGGAUGAUAAUGACAGUACCGGGAGAAUAAGCUCCGGCUAACUCCGUGCCAGCCGCCGCCGUAA